This 429-nucleotide ribosomal RNA is filed under the name Actinomycetes bacterium. RNAcentral's name for it is "Actinobacteria bacterium partial 16S ribosomal RNA". It matches the Rfam family "Bacterial small subunit ribosomal RNA", at positions 355 to 776 of the family's 1533-position model. The record is from RNAcentral. Lineage: Bacteria; Bacillati; Actinomycetota; Actinomycetes.
UAGGGAAUCUUCCGCAAUGGGCGAAAGCUUGACGGAGCAACGCCGCGUGAAUGAUGAAGGUCUUCGGAUCGUAAAACUCUGUUAUUAGGGAAGAACAAAUGUGUAAGUAACUAUGCACGUCUUGACGGUACCUAAUCAGAAAGCCACGGCUAACUACGUGCCAGCAGCCGCGGUAAUACGUAGGUGGCAAGCGUUAUCCGGAAUUAUUGGGCGUAAAGCGCGCGUAGGCGGUUUUUUAAGUCUGAUGUGAAAGCCCACGGCUCAACCGUGGAGGGUCAUUGGAAACUGGAAAACUUGAGUGCAGAAGAGGAAAGUGGAAUUCCAUGUGUAGCGGUGAAAUGCGCAGAGAUAUGGAGGAACACCAGUGGCGAAGGCGACUUUCUGGUCUGUAACUGACGCUGAUGUGCGAAAGCGUGGGGAUCAAACAGG